UACUAACAGGAAUCAAGACCACUCAC
RNAcentral lists this non-coding RNA (26 nucleotides) under Mus musculus (house mouse). Lineage: Eukaryota; Metazoa; Chordata; Mammalia; Rodentia; Muridae. The record is from RNAcentral.